Molecule: ribosomal RNA, 274 nt
Filed under: uncultured bacterium
Lineage: Bacteria
Description: partial 16S ribosomal RNA
Rfam family: Bacterial small subunit ribosomal RNA
Source: RNAcentral
AUACGGAGGGUGCAAGCGUUACUCGGAAUCACUGGGCGUAAAGCGCGCGCAGGCGGCUAUUUAAGUUGGAUGUGAAAGCCUAUGGCUCAACCAUAGAACUGCAUCCAAAACUAUUUAGCUAGAGUGUGGGAGAGGAAGAUGGAAUUAGUUGUGUAGGGGUAAAAUCCGUAGAGAUAACUAGGAAUACCAAAAGCGAAGGCGAUCUUCUGGAACAGUACUGACGCUGAGGCGCGAAAGCGUGGGGAGCAAACAGGAUUAGAUACCCUAGUAGUCC